AAACGCUGAUUUACAUGGUUCGGAGAACGUGUUUCCGUUGGAGGAAGUAACAACCGGAUCUCAACAAACAUUGUUGAAGCCAGAUACAAAUAUAACAAAUGAUUCUGAGGAUCCGGAGUUACAAGUUACAAGUCUCAGUUAAGAAUAAAAUAUUUUGGAGAUCUCUUGAACACCAACUGUUUCCCCAGCAAUCCUAUUAGAGAUGAAAACAGCCAGUAUAUCGUGUUUCAACCGGCAAACUCUAAUUGUCAUAUAGGAAGAAGAGAUUGGUGUCUUUGUGACAACUGUCCAAUAAUGAAAACAAACAUCGAAUCUAUAUGUUGCAGAGAGGUAGAAAAUGCACAAGAAUUUAUCGAGGAAUCGGGUUGCAUCACUACGCAUGAAUUCUUUUAAAUUUUCUGCCAAAGAGAAGAUACCGUUAGUGUGGUGUUUCGCACGGUUGGGCAACAACAAGCACCACCACCUGCUAAAGACAUGAACAGACAACGCAGAAAGACUGCAUAUCGGACUUUUACUGCAUGGGUGCAUGGAUAUCUUGGGAAGGGUAAUCGACGACCCAUCCCGGCAUGUGUGGUGCAUAAAGUACGGCAAGCCUUUCCCGACACGGAUGAAGAAUACACUGGUUUCAAGCAUGCGCCUGAUAUUCCAGCUGAAUUUAUGGCCUAUGAAUAAGCUCUUGUUAUUGAAAAAAUGAAUAAAUCAGUUGUUGUUGCCAGGGGUAGAAAUAACUACUAUUUUAUAUUAAUAAUAUAGGUAAUCUAUACUAAAAGUACAGGCAGCGGCUUUAAACAACGUUAGUAUUAAUAUUAUGCUAUUUAUGUUUUCAAU
Molecule: long non-coding RNA, 828 nt
Organism: Bufo bufo (common toad)
Lineage: Eukaryota; Metazoa; Chordata; Amphibia; Anura; Bufonidae
Exons: 3
Source: RefSeq, a predicted model, not a curated record